GGGGAAUUUUCCGCAAUGGGCGAAAGCCUGACGGAGCAAUACCGCGUGAGGGAGGAAGGCUCUUGGGUCGUAAACCUCUUUUCUCAGGGAAGAAAAAAAUGACGGUACCUGAGGAAUAAGCAUCGGCUAACUCCGUGCCAGCAGCCGCGGUAAUACGGAGGAUGCAAGCGUUAUCCGGAAUGAUUGGGCGUAAAGGGUCCGUAGGUGGUACUGUAAGUCUGCUGUUAAAGAGCAAGGCUCAACCUUGUAAAAGCAGUGGAAACUACAGAACUAGAGUGCGUUCGGGGCAGAAGGAAUUCCUGGUGUAGCGGUGAAAUGCGUAGAUAUCAGGAAGAACACCGGUGGCGAAAGCGUUCUGCUAGGCCGCAACUGACACUGAGGGACGAAAGCUAGGGGAGCGAAUGGGAUUAGAUACCCCAGUAGUCCUAGCCGUAAACGAUGGAUACUAGGCGUGGCUUGUAUCGACCCGAGCCGUGCCGGAGCUAACGCGUUAAGUAUCCCGCCUGGGGAGUACGCACGCAAGUGUGAAACUCAAAGGAAUUGACGGGGGCCCGCACAAGCGGUGGAGUAUGUGGUUUAAUUCGAUGCAACGCGAAGAACCUUACCAAGACUUGACAUGUCGCGAAUUUCGGUGAAAGCUGAGAGUGCCUUCGGGAGCGCAGACACAGGUGGUGCAUGGCUGUCGUCAGCUCGUGUCU
This 698-nucleotide ribosomal RNA is filed under the name cyanobiont of Azolla filiculoides 1534. RNAcentral describes it as "bacterial SSU rRNA". It matches the Rfam family "Bacterial small subunit ribosomal RNA", at positions 356 to 1067 of the family's 1533-position model. Lineage: Bacteria; Bacillati; Cyanobacteriota. The record is from RNAcentral.